CGCUAAGAAGCUAUAAGGGACAGCGUCGGCCUUUUAAGCCGAAGAUAGGUGACUCCACCCACCCUUAGCGA
RNAcentral lists this transfer RNA (71 nucleotides) under Ambassis gymnocephalus (bald glassy). RNAcentral describes it as "tRNA-Lys". It matches the Rfam family "tRNA". Rfam says of the family: Transfer RNA (tRNA) molecules are approximately 80 nucleotides in length. Their secondary structure includes four short double-helical elements and three loops (D, anti-codon, and T loops). The record is from RNAcentral. Lineage: Eukaryota; Metazoa; Chordata; Actinopteri; Ambassidae.